CUGGCUCAGGAUGAACGCUAGCGGCAGGCUUAACACAUGCAAGUCGAGGGGCAACGCGAGUAGCAAUACUUGGCGGCGACCGGCGCAAGGGUGCGUAACGCGUGAGCAACAUGCCCGUAUCAGGGGGAUAAUCCAGGGAAACUUGGUCUAAUACCCAUAGUAAUUUUGUAAGGCAUCUUAUAAGAUUUAAAGCUUUGGUGGAUACGGAUUGGCUCGCGUGACAUUAGCUGGAUGGUAAGGUAACGGCUUACCAUGGCUAUGAUGUCUAGGGGUUCUGAGAGGAAGGUCCCCCCACACUGGAACUGAGACACGGUCCAGACUCCUACGGGAGGCAGCAGUGAGGAAUAUUGGACAAUGGAUGGAAAUCUGAUCCAGCCAUGCCGCGUGAAGGAAGAAAGGUCCUAUGGAUUGUAAACUUCUUUUGUAUGGGAGCAAUAAGGCCUACGAGUAGGCCGAUGAGAGUACCAUACGAAUAAGCACCGGCUAACUCCGUGCCAGCAGCAGC
Molecule: ribosomal RNA, 505 nt
Filed under: uncultured bacterium
Lineage: Bacteria
Description: bacterial SSU rRNA
Rfam family: Bacterial small subunit ribosomal RNA
Source: RNAcentral